Molecule: ribosomal RNA, 1443 nt
Filed under: uncultured organism
Description: SSU rRNA
Rfam family: Bacterial small subunit ribosomal RNA
Source: RNAcentral
GCUUAACACAUGCAAGUCGAGGGGCAGCAUGGUCUUAGCUUGCUAAGGCCGAUGGCGACCGGCGCACGGGUGAGUAACACGUAUCCAACCUGCCGUCUACUCUUGGACAGCCUUCUGAAAGGAAGAUUAAUACAAGAUGGCAUCAUGAGUCCGCAUGUUCACAUGAUUAAAGGUAUUCCGGUAGACGAUGGGGAUGCGUUCCAUUAGAUAGUAGGCGGGGUAACGGCCCACCUAGUCUUCGAUGGAUAGGGGUUCUGAGAGGAAGGUCCCCCACAUUGGAACUGAGACACGGUCCAAACUCCUACGGGAGGCAGCAGUGAGGAAUAUUGGUCAAUGGGCGAGAGCCUGAACCAGCCAAGUAGCGUGAAGGAUGACUGCCCUAUGGGUUGUAAACUUCUUUUAUAAAGGAAUAAAGUCGGGUAUGGAUACCCGUUUGCAUGUACUUUAUGAAUAAGGAUCGGCUAACUCCGUGCCAGCAGCCGCGGUAAUACGGAGGAUCCGAGCGUUAUCCGGAUUUAUUGGGUUUAAAGGGAGCGUAGAUGGAUGUUUAAGUCAGUUGUGAAAGUUUGCGGCUCAACCGUAAAAUUGCAGUUGAUACUGGAUAUCUUGAGUGCAGUUGAGGUAGGCGGAAUUCGUGGUGUAGCGGUGAAAUGCUUAGAUAUCACGAAGAACUCCGAUUGCGAAGGCAGCCUGCUAAGCUGCAACUGACAUUGAGGCUCGAAAGUGUGGGUAUCAAACAGGAUUAGAUACCCUGGUAGUCCACACGGUAAACGAUGAAUACUCGCUGUUUGCGAUAUACAGCAAGCGGCCAAGCGAAAGCGUUAAGUAUUCCACCUGGGGAGUACGCCGGCAACGGUGAAACUCAAAGGAAUUGACGGGGGCCCGCACAAGCGGAGGAACAUGUGGUUUAAUUCGAUGAUACGCGAGGAACCUUACCCGGGCUUAAAUUGCAGAUGAAUUACGGUGAAAGCCGUAAGCCGCAAGGCAUCUGUGAAGGUGCUGCAUGGUUGUCGUCAGCUCGUGCCGUGAGGUGUCGGCUUAAGUGCCAUAACGAGCGCAACCCUUGUUGUCAGUUACUAACAGGUUCCGCUGAGGACUCUGACAAGACUGCCAUCGUAAGAUGUGAGGAAGGUGGGGAUGACGUCAAAUCAGCACGGCCCUUACGUCCGGGGCUACACACGUGUUACAAUGGGGGGUACAGAGGGCCGCUACCACGCGAGUGGAUGCCAAUCCCCAAAACCUCUCUCAGUUCGGACUGGAGUCUGCAACCCGACUCCACGAAGCUGGAUUCGCUAGUAAUCGCGCAUCAGCCACGGCGCGGUGAAUACGUUCCCGGGCCUUGUACACACCGCCCGUCAAGCCAUGGGAGCCGGGGGUACCUGAAGUGCGUAACCGCGAGGAGCGCCCUAGGGUAAAACUGGUGACUGGGGCUAAGUCAUAACA